This 21-nucleotide transfer RNA is filed under the name Sebastes emphaeus (Puget Sound rockfish). Its description in RNAcentral is "partial tRNA-Thr". Lineage: Eukaryota; Metazoa; Chordata; Actinopteri; Perciformes; Sebastidae. The record is from RNAcentral.
GGAGGUNAAAAUCCUCCCUAC